AGUAGGAUGGCUGAGUGGUUUAAAGCAGCAUCUUGGAAAGAUGUCGGUCGCAGUGACCCUGCGGCCCGAGAGUUCGAAUCUCUCUUCUACUG
Molecule: transfer RNA, 92 nt
Filed under: Pectobacterium phage PcCB7V
Lineage: Duplodnaviria; Heunggongvirae; Uroviricota; Caudoviricetes
Rfam family: tRNA
About the family: Transfer RNA (tRNA) molecules are approximately 80 nucleotides in length. Their secondary structure includes four short double-helical elements and three loops (D, anti-codon, and T loops).
Source: Rfam by way of RNAcentral